Molecule: ribosomal RNA, 120 nt
Filed under: Penicillium griseofulvum
Lineage: Eukaryota; Fungi; Ascomycota; Eurotiomycetes; Eurotiales; Aspergillaceae
Source: RNAcentral
ACAUACGACCAUAGGGUGUGGAAAACAGGGCUUCCCGUCCGCUCAGCCGUACUUAAGCCACACGCCGGUGAGUUAGUAGUUGGGUGGGUGACCACCAGCGAAUCUUCACUGUUGUAUGUU